UGCCUCUGCCUUCUGAAUGUGA
Molecule: non-coding RNA, 22 nt
Filed under: Mus musculus (house mouse)
Lineage: Eukaryota; Metazoa; Chordata; Mammalia; Rodentia; Muridae
Source: RNAcentral